This 497-nucleotide ribosomal RNA is filed under the name uncultured bacterium. RNAcentral's name for it is "partial 16S ribosomal RNA". It matches the Rfam family "Bacterial small subunit ribosomal RNA", at positions 28 to 507 of the family's 1533-position model. The record is from RNAcentral.
GAUGAACGCUGGCGGCGUGCCUAAUACAUGCAAGUCGAGCGAACGGACGAGAAGCUUGCUUUUCUGAUGUUAGCGGCGGACGGGUGAGUAACACGUGGAUAACCUACCUAUAAGACUGGGAUAACUUCGGGAAACCGGAGCUAAUACCGGAUAAUAUUUUGAACCGCAUGGUUCAAAAGUGAAAGACGGUCUUGCUGUCACUUAUAGAUGGAUCCGCGCUGCAUUAGCUAGUUGGUAAGGUAACGGCUUACCAAGGCAACGAUGCAUAGCCGACCUGAGAGGGUGAUCGGCCACACUGGAACUGAGACACGGUCCAGACUCCUACGGGAGGCAGCAGUAGGGAAUCUUCCGCAAUGGGCGAAAGCCUGACGGAGCAACGCCGCGUGAGUGAUGAAGGUCUUCGGAUCGUAAAACUCUGUUAUUAGGGAAGAACAUAUGUGUAAGUAACUGUGGACAUCUUGACGGUACCUAAUCAGAAAGCCACGGCUAACUACGUG